UACGUAGGGUGCGAGCGUUAAUCGGAUUUACUGGGCGUAAAGCGUGCGCAGGCGGCCCGUUAAGACAGGUGUGAAAGCCCGGGGCUCAACCCCGGAAGUGCAUUGGAAACUGCUCUGCUUGAGUACCGGAGAGGAAGGGGGAAUUCCCGGUGUAGCGGUGAAAUGCGUAGAUAUCGGGAGGAAGGCCGGUGGCGAAGGCGGCCCUCUGGGCCUGUACUGACGCUCAUGCACGAAAGCGUGGGGAGCAAACAGG
RNAcentral lists this ribosomal RNA (253 nucleotides) under uncultured microorganism. Its description in RNAcentral is "partial 16S ribosomal RNA". It matches the Rfam family "Bacterial small subunit ribosomal RNA", at positions 524 to 776 of the family's 1533-position model. The record is from RNAcentral.